RNAcentral lists this ribosomal RNA (468 nucleotides) under uncultured bacterium. RNAcentral's name for it is "partial 16S ribosomal RNA". It matches the Rfam family "Bacterial small subunit ribosomal RNA", at positions 28 to 507 of the family's 1533-position model. The record is from RNAcentral.
GACGAACGCUGGCGGCGUGCUUAACACAUGCAAGUCGAACGGAAAGGCCCUGCUUUUGUGGGGUGCUCGAGUGGCGAACGGGUGAGUAACACGUGAGUAACCUGCCCUUGACUUUGGGAUAACUUCAGGAAACUGGGGCUAAUACCGGAUAGGAGCUACUGCUGCAUGGUGGGGGUUGGUAAGUUUCGGCGGUUGGGGAUGGACUCGCGGCUUAUCAGCUUGUUGGUGGGGUAGUGGCUUACCAAGGCUUUGACGGGUAGCCGGCCUGAGAGGGUGACCGGCCACACUGGGACUGAGAUACGGCACAGACUCCUACGGGACGCAGCGGUGGGGAAUAUUGCACAAUGGGCGGAAGGCUGAUGCAGCAACGCAGCGUGCGGGAUGACAGCCUUCGGGUUGUAAACCGCUUUCGCCUGUGACGAAGCGUGAGUGACGGUAAUGGGUAAAGAAGCACCGGCUAACUACGUG